RNAcentral lists this long non-coding RNA (5625 nucleotides) under Octopus vulgaris (common octopus). Lineage: Eukaryota; Metazoa; Mollusca; Cephalopoda; Octopoda; Octopodidae. The record is from RNAcentral.
GAAUGCCUAUGUAGUGUCUGCCUCACUUUUUGGCUCGAAAUGAGGAAUGUUUUUUUAUCUCGGUGAUGAUAAUGGUGAGUAGUGGAUAAGGUGAGAGUGACUGGUGGUAGUCUUUGUUGUGCCACCUUGGUGGUAUUUGUGUCGGUGUUUCUUGUGGAAUUCAGUAGCGGCCGUAGCGUUUUGGUGGUGGUGGUGGUGGUGAUGGUGGUAGUAGUAGUAGUAGUAGUAGUAGUAAGUUCCGGUUUGUGUUAGUAGUGUUUGAAGUUGUGGUGGUAGUAAUAGGUCUUGUUUAUAAGUUAUGCGAUCGUGGUGCUGGUGCUGGUAGUGUUGGUAGUUAAGCUAUGGUUGUGGUUGAAGUAGCAUCGGUGAAGGCUGUUUGCUGUGUUGCCUGUAGUGUUGUUGUUGUUGUUGUUGUUGUUGUUGUUGGUGGUGGUGGUGGUGGUGGUGGUGGUGGUGGAGGUGGAGGUGGUGACGGCGCUGUUGGUUGUUUUGUUUGGAAACUGAUCAAGGAUGAGAACUCACCACGUGAGAAAAGAGAGAGAUUCUCGCAACAACGGCGAUAUUACGCAAUACAAGACACGCAAACAGUCUAAAGCACGCUUCCUCACUCUGGAUAUGCCAAGGUACCAUCCUCAAAAACAGGAAGGUAAACAAAAAUACAUUCCGACCAACGACGAUGUUGUUUAAACGGUCCGUCGACCUGCUAGAAAAUGCAGCCAAAUUCCAAUCACCUUGCACUCAGCAACCUUCGAACGGAAAGAAUCAUUGGAUAAUAAAUUCCUGGAUGGACUGCUUCAAUUAUCAGACUGGAUUAUCACAGAUGGAACGCUUUUUGAUCAUCAGACUUCUCAGUUAAGUCUGACUCGGUGCUAAGCAAUAAUAACAAAUUAAAACAUUUUUGAUGUGAUAUAGUAGUUAAUUUCUCGUUCAAUCAAGAUCAUUAUUAAUAUAUCACAAGUUUUUUAAAAAAUGUUAAAAAAAACACAAAAAAAACGAGGAAAACAGCAAAAACAGAAACAUCAUCAUCAACUACCAGAAUGAAAAUUUUGAUUGAUCGAUCGAUCUUUUAAAUCAAUCGAUGAGUUAAUCAUUUAAUCAAUCAAUAAACUGUACUCCAGCCGUUAAGCAGAUUCUCCUAUACAAUGCGCGUGUUGUGUGUGUGCUUGCAUAUAAAGAUGAUUUAAACAGAAAGAAUGUGAUCCCAAACAAUGUAUAUAUGCAUGAUGAGGAGGAAGAGGAAGGAAUGAAGGAAGGAAGAGGAGGAAACAUUUACUCCCACACCAGGCCCUGAUCGGUGAUUCCAACUAAGACGCUCUAGUCACGACCAUCCUGUCCUCUGAGGUGUCCUUGCCUCUUUAUUUUUGACGGCACUGUGUAGUUUGAAGAAGAAUUAGCUACUGUUUCUAGUAGGUCGAGCAACUAACUAUGUAAGAGGCUCGAGUUGUGAUCGAUGAUAGUGAUGAUGAUGAUGAUGAUGAUGAAUUUGGAAGAAAAAUAUCAUAACAGCGAGUCAUAUAUCCAGUCAAUAUGUAAAUGACAGAGAUUUCGCUUUAGAGUCCCUGGAGGGAUGAUUCAAAUAGACUAACUCCUGUGAUAUUUGAAAUCAGAAUAAGAAGGUAAACAGAUGGAACUAAAGAUAUUCUAACGAUUUUGGUCAAGCUGAAAUUCAACUGGGUUGCCAACAACCCCUUUCUGAUGAUAGCGGAUAGUCAAAUACUCACACACACACACAUAUAAAUGGACAGUCACUUGACAAGAGAAGUAACUAAAUAAUAAUAAUAAUAAUAAUAAUAGUCUCUUAUUUAGGCACAAGGCCCACAAUUUUGAGGGGAGAGAGUUGGGUCAAUUACAGCGACCCCAGUACUUAACUGGUACAUCAUUAUCAUCGAUCCUGAAAGGAUGGAAAUCAAAGCUGACCUCGACGGGAUUUGAACUCAGAACAAACGAUGCCAAAAGAAUCAGUCUGACUGGUGAUGCUAAUGGUAAGUAAACGAUCUUGUGUGUGUGUGUGUGUCUGUGUGUAUACACACACACACACUAAUUCUUUCUCUCGCACUUAUUAAGUCAGUGUAUGUGCGUGUGCGUGUGUGUGUGUGUGUGCGUGCGCGCAUUCAUAUAGGCAACAUAAAUAACUUAAAUUCAUUAUCGACAAUAGGGAGGGGGGACGGGAAGAGAAAGCGAGAUGAUGGCAGUAGUUUUCAAUGGGGAAAGAAUUAAAACAACUGUGAUGGGGAUUCCGAAAAAUCACAGUGAAUAAGCCAUUUAAACAAGAUAAUGAUGAACACAUAUUUAUACAUGCUUAGACUACUGAAUCGAUAGAUAGAAAGAUAGACAGAUUGACAGACAGAUAGAUAGAUAGAUAGAUAGAUAGAUAGAUAGAUAGAUAGAUAGAUAGAUAGAUAGAUUAUAUAUACAUAUACAUCCACACGCACAUAGAUAUUUUGCGUAUAUAUAAUUAAUGUGCGUGUACAUUUGUGAAUGUACGUUGCCAGAGAGAAAAAUAUGAAUUGCACAAAAAGCCAGAGAGAGGCGGGAGGAAGAGAGAGAGAAAAAAGUGAGAAUGAAAGAGGAAAAAGGAACGCAAAUAAGAGAGAGAGAGAGAGAGAGAGAGAGGAAUAAGCGGAAAAAAAAAAUGGCUAAAAAUGUAAGGUUAUCUAUAAGAAUUACAACGAAAACGGCAGGAACGGUAAAAACAAGAGCCAAUUCCAUAACACGACACAGCACAUACACACAUACAUACAUAUAUAUAUAUAUAUAUACACACAUACGACACAUACACAGUACACAGAAUUAUAUAUUUAUAUACAUAUAUACAUAUAAACGUGUGUGUGUUGACUUACAGAUGGUAAAAGUAAGGUAACUGCAUAUUCCUGAGGGUACGAAUGUGUAUUGUAUUUUUUUCCCUUUUGUUCUGCUAAAAUGUUAUGUUUAUAUAUGUUUUUUUCUUCUUUUAAUAUAUAUAUAUUUUAUGUAUUAACCAACCAAGUGCUUUGCCGGUGGACACCCCCGUUUUUCUAAAAGUACGCGCUGGUGUCAGCGGCGACAACAGCGGGGACCGACUGGGAGUUGCGGCCGUAGGAGCCUUACUACAACAAACGAGAGAACAACCGAAGGUAGGGGGAAAAACACUUAGAGAGAGAGAGAGAGACAGAGAGAGAGACAGAGAGAGAGAGAGAGAGAGAGACAGAGAGUAUGUGUGUGUGUGUGAAAGAGAGAGAGCAAGAAGUAUCGAGGAAACAGAGAUAGAGAGAUAGAGAUUGAUAAAGAAAAAGAGGAAGAGGAGCAGAGAGAGAGAGAGGAGUCUGUUGAACAGAUUUCAGAUACGAAAGAGAAAGCGAAUCGAAGAUAGAGAAACUGAUGUAGAAAGAUAUAAAGAGCCAAUGUAAGAAGAAGAAAAGAUAGAGUAGGAUAUACGUGUAUAUGAAAAAGACCAGAAGCUGUAUUUAUACUAAUUAUAUUUGAGUAGAGAUGAGGAAGGAAAAAGCGAGAGACACAACGAAAAAGGCAGUGACAUAGAGAGGCAGGAAGUCACAGAGUAGCAGUAGUAGGAGGAGGAAGACACAUCGCUCUUACUCUUUCUCUUUCUCUCUCUUUAGAUAUAUAUAUAUAUAUAUGUGUGUGCGUGCGUGUGUGUGUAAAAUAUGUAUAAAGAAAAGGGAGAACGACAGCAAGAGAGGAGCAAAAUUGAAGGUGAGAGUUGUAGCAGGAGUAGUAAAAAAAAGGUGCGUGCGGAUCGGUUGGUAGGUCGGCUGGUCGUUCGGUCGGGUGGUUGGUGGGCUGGUUGGUCGGUAGGUCGGUCGGUCGGUCGGUUGGUCGGUCAGUCUUUAUUUUCACCACUAUAGACAGACAGACAGACAGACACUCAAAACACGCAUUUACAUACAUGCAGACCAGAGAGUUAACAGGAGUAGUGGGAAGAGGAGGAGAAAAAUAUGAAGCGAGGAGAAGGCGGAGUAACAAAACGAGUCGUGGUGAGAGAGAGAGAGAGAGAUAAUAUGGAAAAGAUGGAGAGAGAUAGAGAGAUGAGGACACACACACAUAUAUAUGUAUAUUUAUAUACAUAUAUAUGUAUAUAUAUGUAUAUAUAUGCACACACGCACAAAGAUUUAAUAAUGAAGAUAAAGCGACUGUUGGAAAAUCAUUCGUGUCAGUUAGUUUAGGAGAAGUAAAAAGGAAACGAAUAACGAGAGAGAAAGAGAGAGAGAGAGAGAGAGCAAGAAAUAUGUGUUGAUUGCGUAUAUAUACAUACACAUAGAUAGAUAGAUAGAUAGAUAGAUAGAUAGAUAGAUAGAUAGAUAGUUUAUGAAUAUACAUGCGAGGAGUAAUUAGAAAUCUAUAUACAUCCGCACAGAUUCAUAAUUAUAAAAUUAUAAAUUGAUUAUAUACUACAGAUUUAGCGUAUGUGUGUGUGUGUGUGUCUGUGCCUUAAUGAAAUCACAGCCUCUUCUCACACUGCCUCAUUUCACACACACACAUUGUACCUUUGGAAUCAUCAAAGUGGUAGAGAGAGUUGAAAUGAGAGAGAAAAACAUCGAGAGAAGAACGUAGAGAGAGAGAGAGAGGGGGGAGAGAAAGAGAGAAACGCAAAGCGAAAGAAACGAAAAUAGAAUGGGUUACAUACACACACGCACAUAGAAGCAAGAUAUAUAUAUAUAUAUAUAUAUAUAUAUUGCUUCAAUGUGCGUGUAUAUAUAUAUAUAUAUAUAUAUAUAUAUAUAUAUAGAGAGAGAGAGAGAGAGAGAGAGAGAGAGAGAGACAGAUAGAGAUAGAAAUUCACAGAGAGAGAGAGAGAGCAUCUUACGUGCAAGAGUCAACUAUUUUAGAAAUUGUUAACAAACAUGAAUUGGAAGAAAAUAUUAGAAUUAGAAUAACAGUAAUUUCUUUCAACUAGAAACGAUUCAAUUCUUUUUAAAGGAGAAGCAAGGAGUGGGAUACAUUCCAUUGAAUCUACCCUGGUACAUGACUGGUAUACCUUCUUCAUUUUUAUUUCUAUUUUUUUUUUUGUGUAUAUAUUUUAUUGGAGGGCUGGGUAAAUAGAAUGAUUUGGUUUAGCGCAAAUCUUCCUUUCUAAUUUUUUCUUUCUUUUUUUAGGUCGCAAAAUGUUAAAGACAAAUGAAUCGACCUUCAUUAUUGCAGACAGUUAUCUAUUAAUUGAAUGCAGACCAAAAAUUGGAAUGAAAAAAAAAGUAAGAAAGCUGAUUCCCAGUGUAACUCGAACUUAAACAAGAAAUUCAGAACCGUAUGAUGUAAAUAUGAUUUAAAAAAAAAAAAAAAGAAAAAUGAAAAAUAUGUAUUGAUGAAAAAAAAAAAGAAAAGAAAAAAGAAAAAAAAGAAGCGUUCAUUUUGCUUCUUUUUCGAAGAAUGAUAUAUCAAUGGAUUUCUUACAUUGGCACAGUACCAGGGAUUUGUAUAAACGAUGGUACUAGCGAUCUGCAAUUCUUUAUACCUGGACCGCUAACCACAACAAGGAUUUCUUAUAGAAAAGCACAAGGCCAAAUGUUUGUAGGAGGUUGCAGUCGAUCAUAUCGGCUGCUGCCUUAUUACAAUCGACCCUGGAGGGAUUUAAAAAACUGCACAAUCAAGCCCCGGCUAGGAGAGAACGACUGUGUCACUACAUAUCACAAA